Molecule: long non-coding RNA, 5247 nt
Organism: Anolis carolinensis (green anole)
Lineage: Eukaryota; Metazoa; Chordata; Lepidosauria; Squamata; Anolidae
Exons: 3
Source: RefSeq, a predicted model, not a curated record
CUGUUGCCUUUCUCUUAAUGUUCCACGUCAACCAUGGCUUGCCAGUACAUAAAGAGGUGCACCUGCAUCGGUCAGUGUUCUAUCAUUUUUUAAGAAGAAUAUAAACCAUAUGUAUUUCUCCCUUGGCUGGCUGACAUCCUGCAUAUUUUAGGCCAUUGGCUAUAAGCCUAUCCUUUCUGUCUCUUUUGUUGUAAAAAUGACUCCAUGGUGAAUUUGAAAAAUUCAGAUUUGCUUUGAUGAAGAUGCUGUGGAAAGCUUGCUGGACUCACUGUAUUGAUCCGGUGAGAGUAAACCAAAGUGUUUAUGCUUUCUCUUCAAGUGGAUAAUUCCUUCAAAUCAAAACAGCGCCGUGUUCUGUAAUAACAACAGAGCAGAAGAGGAUAUUUUGUAAUAUAAUAACUCUGUCUGUAUGGUUGAAGAGGAACAAAUGUUUUUUACGACUCCCCACUGUCAUAAUGAAGAAAAGCAGGUUGAGGAGCCUGGGAUAAUUAUUUGACCAUCGUAAAUAUUUAUGAAGUGGAGUGUGGUAUGCUACAACAUAAAGUGGAGCUGACAAUUGCAGCAUUCAUCGUGUCACUUUAUACUGACUAAAAUGCGCAUUUUUUCUGAAGAAAAGAAAAUCAUUAAACCCCCAAAUAUCUUUACUUAAAAUAUGAGGAGCAGCAGCAGCAGCAGCAGGAAAGAGGAGGAGGAGGAGGAGGGAAAGGAGAGGAGGAGGAAGAGGAGGAAGAGGGGGGAACUAAAACAAAAUGAAAUCACACAUAACUUUAACAAGAAGUAACCAACUUCUUCUAAACUUUACCUGCUACCCCAAACCUCUUCCAGGCACUUUACAUUGAACAUGUCUAGUACAUUCAGUUAAUAGUCUGAAAUGUCAAAUCCUAACUUUGUCUAUGAGCUAAAAGAAGUAUUGCAGAGAGCCAGAUGUCAACGCUAGAUUUAGGUUGGAUUGAAUGGACAUGACAAGGACAAAUGAAUUGGUUUCCUAUAAGUGGCAUGCAUAGGCAAAAGUCAAUCUUAUACCUGCAUAUGAUUUUGUUAGUUGAUGUGGUGUUUAGUAUUCCUCCUUCUUCAAUGACCUAUGAGCCUUUGGAACGAUCACAGUUCUCCUCCCCAUAUCAUUCUAUGCCUCAUGGGGAGCAGCAGGAUCUAUACACGUGAAUUUUGUGGAGCACUUUCAGUCAUUACAUUGAUGCAACAAUCAUAAAAAAUAAACUAUCACUAUUACAAUGUCAUGGGUGAAAAAACGGAAUAGACACUUCGGAGGCAUGUGUUUCUCAUGUUAGGCUGGGUCCAGUUUGAAGCUAUAGUCAUGUUUAACUAAAGGUAGUUAUUGCUUUUCACGUCAUUGGGAAGCCUGAGUGUGGUGGGUUUCUGAUUAGGAAGCAGAAAUGGAUGAAAAUAUUAACAUCAGCUGGUGUUACAUUAAGUGGUAUCAUGCAUAUUUGGCAAGCAAUUAUAAAUCACUGAGGAUUUUUCAGCAAGAAAUUUCAGUAGGAUGUCUUGGCAUUCUCUCACUUUCUCUCAGCAACACAUGUAUUACAUAUGGAUGAGAAGUUAGUAUACUGAAGAUAUCCAGCUUUGGAUCUUAUUCAGUUCAAGACACACAAUCACACUUUGUAGAGAUGAAACCAGGCUAAAGUGAAAGCAGAGUCCUUGAAUUAAGUAGAGCUAUAUCCUAUCACUGCUCAAGUUCAACCUUAGGCUAUGCACUUCUAGAGCAGUAACCAUAACAGGAGGAAUGGGGAUUUUUCAAAGAUAUUGUUGGACUUCAGUUUCUGUAAUCUAUUACAAAUGGCUAUGCUGGUCAGAGAUUAUGGGAAUUGCAGUCUAUGUAAAUUCACAACUAUUUUAUUUUUGCAUGUGGAAGUGAAUAUUUAUGGUAUUUUUCUUCUACUGUGGAAUUUUCUCCCUCUGCGGAGAAUAGAUUAUUCUGAUUUGGUUGCUAAAUUUAAAGCCUGGAAACACAAAUAUAGAAUACCAGAAGGUAUAACAUAUACAAUCAGCCCUCUACAUUUGUGGAUGUGACUUUUGCAGAUAUGAUUAUUCACAUAUUUCAUUAAAAUAUUCUUCCUGGGAACCUCUAAGCCUUCCAGUGUGAUUAUAUGGUCGACUUCUGCUGGAAGUCAAUCAUAGAGUCAUACUGGGAUACUUAGAAAUUCUCUGAGACAAUACUUGUCUAGGAAUCACUAGCUCCUCCAGCAUGAUCCAGCAGACGUUGGCUAUAAUGUCACUCUGGAGAAACUACAUAUUUCUAAAGAUGUGCCUUCUCAGGUAGAAAAAUAGAAAUUUCAUUAUUUGCGGUUUUUGCAUUUUUUUUUGUGGGGAUCCUGUGUCCUAAUCCCAGGGAAUGUGGAGGGCUGACUGUAAAGGUUAAGAUAUAAUGCAGAAUGUGUUUGUGUGUGUUAUUGAUAAUAUAGGAACUGCCUAGUUCCAGGCAGAAUCCUUGCUCAGUUGUAAACAAGAUAAGAACACAUUCAUUAGACCUGACCAAUAAUAACUUCAUGGCAGAUGUCAACUAUAGAAAAAUGAUUUAUAAAAUCUGAUGAAAGGUAACUCGAAAGCCAAGAGUUUGGUAUAACCAGGUUAAAGUUAUCUCCACAGGUCUGAUUAGAGGAGAGGAUUAUUGACAUAAGCAGUGCAAUUGUUUUUGGUUGGACCAGAAAGGACAGCUGAGAGGCUGGGCCGAAGCUAGGGAGAGGUUAAAGUAAGUCUAGAAGAAAGAAACAGACUGCUUUGCUAGUCUCCACCAUAUGAGGUAAGGCUGCUAUGUAGCCUCCAAAUCAUGCUGUUCUUGAUAAACUCUGGAGACAUGCUGAUGCAAACUGAUGCUGCUGGGAUUUACUUUUAGCUCCACUUGUGUGGAUGCUCAAUCCACCUGAGCGCUGGAACUCAAUCGACAGACCCAGUUUUUUGAACUGAACACGCCUACCUGUAUUUUAUAAUGUGUUUUAUGAAUACUGAUAUGCAUGGAGGUCAGCUGUGACCAGCAGUGCAGUGGAAUUCGAAGAGGCAUGAAUGGAGGGCGAAAGGGAGAAACGUGCCAAGAGGAAGGUGCAUCAAAGCCAACCCUGACCAGAACAGGCUUUCCACCUGGCAACUAAUGCCCUCACAGUGGAAGAACAUGCGUGUCAAGAAUAGGACUCCAUAGUCAUCUACAUACCCAAUGCUAAGACACUAAACUUGGAGGGCCAUCAUACUGGGACAGUGAGAGAUCACCUAAGUAGAAGAUAUUGUUUUAUUGUAUGCAAAGAAAAGAAUUUUGUCAUUUAUUUGAUGUGAACUGUUUUGAGUCCCCCCAAGGGUGAGAAAAGCAGUAUAUAAAUGCACUAAAUAAAUAAAUAAUGUUCCACAGCAGCAGAUAUUGACAGGCAUAUUGGCUGUUACUGGAAGUAAUAUAUAGCCAGCCACUAUAACUAGAAGAGACAAUAUACAUUACUGCCAUACCUGUGGGGGUAUUCUGAACUUACUGUGGAAACAGGAAACUGUGGAUGAUUUUGAACCUCGUUGAAAAGAAUGCAAGGUUAAUGCAGGUGACUUGGACCAAGGAAAUAAUAAACAUAAAUGCCUGUGUUGACUGAACAUGUUUCACCAAAUGUUUUAUCCAAAAAGAACAACAUUCACACAUAAAAUUAAAGAACCAGGCCAGAUAAUCCUUGCAGACAUAGAGAAAAACAUCUAGAAACUUCUAGAGAUGACUUGAGUUUCUUCUAAAAUGCAUUUAAAGGGUUUUUUUUUCACCAGCAUCCACUUUUUUGUGAUGUCAAUUUUGGUGACUUAAAUUACAGAUCUAUACUUUUAUUUUAUUUUUUAAUAGCCUGGGGUUAGCUGGUGAGGCAAGCUGAGUUGCAGUCUCCUUUUCUUUCUCUUUUGUUGGUCAUACAUGGUUAGUAAGUGGUACAAGAGGCAGCUGUCAUUUAACCUUGCUGAAAAAACACAUAGGAUCAGCUAGAGCAGUCUCAUUCCUUCACAGCUCAAACAUUGCUGUAUUGUUUACUGCAGACACCUGUGGCAACACAACAUUAUUAGUAUUAAUUCAACCCUCUUUUCCCCUUUUCUUAAUACUAAUGCUGCCAAAAAAAACCUUUUAGCUACACAGAGGACAAGAAGAAAGAAAAGGGGAGCAAAACAGGAAAAAGGAAGCUCUUUGUCAAAGGCUUUGCUAAAUGAGGUAUGCUUGUAAUAGCAAAGUUUCUCAGAAUGGUUUCAUCACAUACUGCUAAACUCAGAAGAGUUUUGGAACUGCAGCUGUCAUAGAAAAGUGACUGUUUUGUGAAACCAUGGAUAUGACGCCCACACUCUUCCUUAUCCUGUCUGUUAAAAAAAAAAAAAAAACAGUUUACAAGACAGCAUAAAUGACUCUUUUGCAUCUUGUAUGCUUGAACCAGAUUUCCCUGCACAUAUUUUAUUUUGGAUUGAGUUUUAUUUUUGCAGGCAGCCUUCUGUUACAUGCACACAAGUAUGUGUACACGUGAUAUGCCACACUAAUCUUGACAUUUCUGACCUUGCAACCUUUGUAGGACCAAUAUGCCACCAUUCGGGAACGGUCUCUGUGGACCUAAUCAGCUUUUAAAUGUGAUGCUUUCCUGCAUUGCUACAAGAGCCCUGGGAUGAACUAUUGAUUGGAAAACAAAUGUCAUGAUGUGAUUAUUAUAAGCCAGAACAAUUAAAUUCUUAUACCAAAAAAGAAACAAAGCAAACCCACUAUAGCUCAGUAUGUUUUUAAAAGUAACUUCGCGUUUCUCUGCAAUGAUAUGUCAUCAAGCUCUUUGGCUUCACAUCUCCAGUCAAUCAAUUACCAAUCAUUAUAAACUGGACUCUGGCUUGGUACAUGUUCUGCAAAACGUAAGCCUCUAUAGGCUGGAUGUCAAAGAAUAACCACUUCAUCAGAUGGGCUGAUUUGCCCAUUGUACACUGUUUCACCUCCUUUUUUUGGCAUGCAGUGCUUUACAUGAUGUGAAGGGACUUCUGACUACCUCCAUGUCAAAAAGGGAGAUGAAGCAGUGGCCACCAGUGCCGCAGCAACACGGGAGACUUCCUGUGUUGCCUUCUUUUCAAUGGAGAAAAGUCAGGAAGCAAUGCUUCCUCCCAUGAAAUGAGGAAGAAGGUAAGGUUGGCAAUGCUGGGCAUGGAGUGGCGGCUUCUCCAUGCCUUCCACCAGGAGCCCAUGGAUUCGCCCCAAUGUGGGGCAAAUCCAUGGGCCUUUCUGAUAAGCUUGUUAAUGUGACUGGGCAUGUCCACAUUAAA